CAGCAAUUUUCUCCAUCUUUCCAUCUCUCUCAGUAGCUCCUGGAACAGUGUCCUGCAAUAAUAGGGACUCAACAAAUAUUUGCAGGAUGUUGAAGAAAGAUACUGUGCCUUCUUGUGCCGUAAGCCCAAAGUGCUCUAGAGUUAACUUUUAAAGAGGACAUGGCAGCCACUCAAAAAAAAAGCGAAAGUAUGUGCUUAAAAAUUCUGGUUUGUGCUUUAAACUUUUGCAAAGGAGGCAGAAUUAAAGUGUUUCAGUCUCCUCCUGGACCUCUGACAGCAAAAUUAGCAUGAAGGAGAACAGUACAUAGCAGAAAGUGAAGGCACUCUCCUAGCGGCUGUGACUCAAGAAGCUCGAGGCUGCCCAACAUGCCAGGCCUGUGAAACCAUCUGAAAGAAGCAUAAGAUGUGCUUCCUGCCUUCAUGCAGCUUCAAACCUUAAUAAUCCACAGGGAGAGCUUUGAGACUUAUGGAAACCAUCAGACUGCUUUAUCUGACCAAACCUCAAAGGAGGUUGAACUGGGAAGAGAGAGUCUGUUGACUCCAAGGCCAUCCCCAGCCUCCCACACUCACUCCUGAUCCUUUGGGAAGACCUGUGCCUUCGCUCGUUCCUGUGGCAGCAGCAAUCCACCCCUUUCAGAAGCUGUACGUCUCUCUCCAGUUUGCGUGGAAUUCUUGGAUAGGACCCAAGUUCUACUGGGACUGGUACCUGAAGCAGAGAGAGGAUAGAGAGGAGAGGGAUGGACUCCUGCACCUGACCUCUUGGACUGGUUGGAAAAACUGAUUCAACAGGAAGUCAAGAGCUCCGACUCCAAAAGCUGACCUUUGGUGUGCGGAAUCCUGGCUCUGCUGCUCACUCCUUAGAUAAUCUCAGAGCCUGCCUGCUUUACACACCCUGUGAAACCACGUCCAACAUCUGCUAACCAUAACUAAGAAGACCCUGUAGCUAUGAAAGACCAGACUCUGCUGCUGUCCUUUGGAGCUCUCUGACCCAGAGGCGCCCCACCCUGCUGCUGAGCAACAUCACCCAGACACACAGCCACCUCUCUCAUACCCUCCUUUCCCCCAGGAGAUCCCCUGUCCUACUUCCUUUCUGGGGAUGGCUUUGUGCCACUGUCUCUGGAAAGUCCCUUGUUGGGAAGGACUUCCUUUCUCAUGAACCCUGUCUAAUAAAGCUUCUGGUGUGUUGCUGCCUCUUGUGGGCCUGUCUCUUCCUUCAU
RNAcentral lists this long non-coding RNA (1217 nucleotides) under Equus caballus (horse). RNAcentral's name for it is "lncRNA (ENSECAG00000044982.1)". The record is from RNAcentral. Lineage: Eukaryota; Metazoa; Chordata; Mammalia; Perissodactyla; Equidae.